AUCCGGGGUGGGCGAGGGGGCCGGAGGGUCUGUCAGAUCCUCGUCGUCAUCGACGGUGGCUGGCACUUCGGGUGUGGUCAUGGGCG
This 86-nucleotide transfer RNA is filed under the name Mycobacteroides abscessus. Its description in RNAcentral is "tRNA-Asp(gtc)". RNAcentral also lists the same sequence under 2 other names. Lineage: Bacteria; Bacillati; Actinomycetota; Actinomycetes; Mycobacteriales; Mycobacteriaceae. The record is from RNAcentral.